RNAcentral lists this transfer RNA (74 nucleotides) under Pteropus alecto (black flying fox). It matches the Rfam family "tRNA". From Rfam's summary of the family: Transfer RNA (tRNA) molecules are approximately 80 nucleotides in length. Their secondary structure includes four short double-helical elements and three loops (D, anti-codon, and T loops). Lineage: Eukaryota; Metazoa; Chordata; Mammalia; Chiroptera; Pteropodidae. The record is from Rfam by way of RNAcentral.
GGCUCCAUAGUGUAGUGGUUAGCACAUCUGCUUUACACUCAGAAGGUCCUGGGUUCGCACCCCAGGUGGAGCCA